Molecule: long non-coding RNA, 145 nt
Organism: Ailuropoda melanoleuca (giant panda)
Lineage: Eukaryota; Metazoa; Chordata; Mammalia; Carnivora; Ursidae
Exons: 3
Source: RefSeq, a predicted model, not a curated record
CUGGCAGGCCAACUUCAUGAAGGAGCAAACUUUACUAAGCUCCUACUGUGUACCAGGACCUAGAGGAGCUCAUAGUCAGCACGUUACAAUUCAGGAUCCUAUCCAGUUUUCUACUGUGAACUCAAGGAAGUCCUCACCCCAAGGC